RNAcentral lists this ribosomal RNA (547 nucleotides) under Fusarium solani. RNAcentral's name for it is "eukaryotic LSU rRNA". The stretch from base 171 to 324 matches the Rfam family "5.8S ribosomal RNA". The record is from RNAcentral. Lineage: Eukaryota; Fungi; Ascomycota; Sordariomycetes; Hypocreales; Nectriaceae.
ACCUGCGGAGGGAUCAUUACCGAGUUAUACAACUCAUCAACCCUGUGAACAUACCUAAAACGUUGCCUCGGCGGGAACAGACGGCCCCGUAACACGGGCCGCCCCCGCCAGAGGACCCCCUAACUCUGUUUCUAUAAUGUUUUUUCUGAGUAAACAAGCAAAUAAAUCAAAACUUUCAACAACGGAUCUCUUGGCUCUGGCAUCGAUGAAGAACGCAGCGAAAUGCGAUAAGUAAUGUGAAUUGCAGAAUUCAGUGAAUCAUCGAAUCUUUGAACGCACAUUGCGCCCGCCAGUAUUCUGGCGGGCAUGCCUGUUCGAGCGUCAUUACAACCCUCAGGCCCCCGGGUCUGGCGUUGGGGAUCGGCGGAAGCCCCCUGUGGGCACAACGCCGUCCCCCAAAUACAGUGGCGGUCCCGCCGCAGCUUCCAUUGCGUAGUAGCUAACACCUCGCAACUGGAGAGCGGCGCGGCCACGCCGUAAAACACCCAACUUCUGAAUGUUGACCUCGAAUCAGGUAGGAAUACCCGCUGAACUUAAGCAUAUCAUA